CCUUAGUACGAGAGGACCGGGAUGGACAUACCUCUGGUGUACCAGUUGUUCUGCCAAGAGCACCGCUGGGUAGCUACGUAUGGAUUAGAUAAUCGCUGAAAGCAUCUAAGUGAGAAACUAACCUCGAGAUGAGAUUUCCCAUUCGUCAGAAGUAAGACCCCUGAGAGACGAUCAGGUAGAUAGGCUAGAAGUGGAAGUGUAGUGAUGCAUGGAGCGGACUAGUACUAAUAGGUCGAGGACUUAACCAAG
RNAcentral lists this ribosomal RNA (249 nucleotides) under Oenococcus oeni. RNAcentral's name for it is "partial 23S ribosomal RNA". It matches the Rfam family "Bacterial large subunit ribosomal RNA", at positions 2676 to 2925 of the family's 2925-position model. The record is from RNAcentral. Lineage: Bacteria; Bacillati; Bacillota; Bacilli; Lactobacillales; Lactobacillaceae.